GAUGAACGCUGGCGGCGUGCCUAAUACAUGCAAGUCGAGCGAACAGACGAGGAGCUUGCUCCUCUGACGUUAGCGGCGGACGGGUGAGUAACACGUGGAUAACCUACCUAUAAGACUGGGAUAACUUCGGGAAACCGGAGCUAAUACCGGAUAAUAUAUUGAACCGCAUGGUUCAAUAGUGAAAGACGGUUUUGCUGUCACUUAUAGAUGGAUCCGCGCCGCAUUAGCUAGUUGGUAAGGUAACGGCUUACCAAGGCAACGAUGCGUAGCCGACCUGAGAGGGUGAUCGGCCACGAUGGAGCUAAGGCACGGACCAGACUCCAACGGGAGGCAACAGUAGGGAAUCUUCCACAAUGGGCGAAAGCCUGACGGAGCAAGGCCGCGUGAGUGAUGAAGGUCGUCGGAUCGUAAAACUCUGUUAUUAGGGAAGAACAAAUGUAAGUAACUAUGCACGUCUUGACGGUACCUAAUCAGGAAGCCACGGCUAACUACGUG
RNAcentral lists this ribosomal RNA (495 nucleotides) under uncultured bacterium. RNAcentral describes it as "partial 16S ribosomal RNA". It matches the Rfam family "Bacterial small subunit ribosomal RNA", at positions 28 to 507 of the family's 1533-position model. The record is from RNAcentral.